Molecule: ribosomal RNA, 480 nt
Filed under: uncultured bacterium
Lineage: Bacteria
Description: partial 16S ribosomal RNA
Rfam family: Bacterial small subunit ribosomal RNA
Source: RNAcentral
GAUGAACGCUAGCGGCAGGCCUAACACAUGCAAGUCGAGGGGUAGAAGGAGCUUGCUCCUUUGAGACCGGCGCACGGGUGCGUAACGCGUAUGCAAUCUACCUUGUACAGGGGAAUAGCCCAGAGAAAUUUGGAUUAAUGCCCCAUAGUAUAUAACCUUCGCAUGUUGGUUAUAUUAAAGUUCCAACGGUACAAGAUGAGCAUGCGUCCCAUUAGUUAGUUGGUAAGGUAACGGCUUACCAAGACGAUGAUGGGUAGGGGUCCUGAGAGGGAGAUCCCCCACACUGGUACUGAGACACGGACCAGACUCCUACGGGAGGCAGCAGUGAGGAAUAUUGGUCAAUGGUCGCAAGACUGAACCAGCCAUGCCGCGUGCAGGAAGACGGUCCUAUGGAUUGUAAACUGCUUUUAUACAGGAAGAAACCCUCCCACGUGUGGGAGCCUGACGGUACUGUAGGAAUAAGGAUCGGCUAACUCCGUG